RNAcentral lists this long non-coding RNA (3621 nucleotides) under Nicotiana tabacum (common tobacco). RNAcentral describes it as "long non-coding RNA (NTAB_LNC003866)". The record is from RNAcentral. Lineage: Eukaryota; Viridiplantae; Streptophyta; Magnoliopsida; Solanales; Solanaceae.
GUCAUUUGGCAUCAUCCCAAUUUUGUUCACUUCAAUCUUCUCUUUUCUUUCUUUUCUUGUGCUUUUUGGCUCGCUCAUUUUCCUUAUUCCCGCAGUUUCCUCUCAUUUUCACAUCCCACAACUUCAUUCUCUUUUUUACCUCCCUUUUUUAAUUUUAAAAAAUGAUUUGAUCGAACCCUAUGUAGGUUGCCUACGUAUCAUGUCCCUCAUAAAUAAGAUCAAGCGUAGUUCUUGAAAAAGUAAUGGACAAAUAAACUAAAAAUAAAAAUCUUUUUGGAUUUUCAUUUAUUGGUUUUUCAAAUACAAAACAGAUAGUACGAUAAUGAAAGACUCGACAAUCUUAACUAGACUAACAGACUCGAUACUACUAUACAGGACUAAUAAUUAAAAGACUACAUAAACGACAGACUCAAAACAUAAAAGUUUCCUCAAGCAGCUCGAGCAUGCAAUGGUCUUGACUAAAAUGGUCCUGGGGUAUUUUGUCAUGUUCAAACUUUAGCAAAUCGCUCCAUACCUGAAUGAGAAAAAUAAGAUCAAAUAGAUCAGUGACUCAAGACACCAUGGAAUCUCCUAUUGGACACAUGCAAGGCAUAAUUUGGCUAUUUUUGCAAAAUGAUCUAAGUGGCUAUUAGCGCAAACUUGACAAAGUUGACCCCUAAUGAAUGAAAAAUACUCCAUUUAAAGCUCACAUGGCUCCAACAUCCCAACAAUCAUGGCCUUAAAAAAUUACUCUACGGAAAUGACCCAUUUUGCAAAAAUGGCCGAUAUGGCCGGAAGUAGCUAAAGAUGCAAACUCAAAAGGGAAGGACCUUAAAGUAAUAUGACACCAAGUUGUGGACUUAAGAUCCUAAGACAUGGGUAAUUGAACCACUUUUUGCGAAAAUGACCCCAUUUUGCAAGAAUGACCGAUGUGGCCAAAAGUGGCUAGACAUUCAAAUUCAACAGGAAAUGGCCUUGAAGUAAGGAGACAGCUAAUUGUGGAUUCUAGACUCUCCAAACACGGUUCAACAGGCCACUUCACAAAAUUGCCCUAUUUUGCAACAAAGCCGAUGUGGCCAAAAGUAAAGGAAAAGUAUAAAAUCUUUUUGGAUUUUCUUUUUCUCCUUUUUUUUUUGAAUUUUUGAAAAAUAAUGGAAAAGUGUAAAAAAAAAUUGGAUUUUCUUUUUCAUUUUCAUUUUUUGAUUUUUGGAAAACUAUGAAAGAAAAAUGUGAGUGAGCUCUACUUGCUUCAUUUUUCACCCUUCUUUCCAAAGCAUCGGUCCGCCAAAUGACCUUCCUACCCUCACAGAUGCAACAAUUAUCACAUAGGAUGAUUAAAUGUCAUUUUGGGCCACGGGCCCAUUUUGACAAAAUUUGGACAAGCUUCCUACAAAGGAACACGGUACCUGGGACCGAGCCCUACUAGGUCUAAAUGACAUGAUGCAAAUAAGAAUGACCUAAAGGCUGACCUAAGUUUGGGGUUCACUAACAAGGCAAUUCGGGAAGCGUAUGGUCGAUGGUAGCUGCUCAAGCUUUCCACCCACUCCAUACGUCCGACGACCCCCCCUCCUAAAUUAAGGGUGACUCAACAAAGAGUUCGUGCACGCGACGCGUGCUCCGAGACUUGUUGCAGAAAGAAGACCCAUGGUUAUGUAAAUGAUGACAAUUUAUAAAGCAGUAACACAUAAAAGAAAAAACGGUAAACAAAUAAGCAACUAGCAAAUAAAAAUGACAAACAAAAUAAAAAGCAAACAAAAACAUAAAAACCUCAACUGAAUAUCCUAAAAACCAACACGAUCAAGUACUAGCUCGAACCUGCAAUUCCCCAGCAGAGUCGCCAGAGAUGUCACACCCCCUUUUUAUCAAACUCACCAAACCCUCUUAAAAAGAAUAAAAAGAUUUAGUGAAAAGCUUGAAAAAGGUUUUCAAUUUUGAAAGUGACAAAAAUUGUAUUCAAAAGGAAAAUAACUCAGAGUCGCCACCUGACUUUGAUUUCGGUGUGCCAGGUCACCUUUUUUUUUUUUAAAUGACUUUUCCUUUUAAAAUAUUUCAGACUCUAAAACUAAGUCCGCUCCAGAAAAUCGGGUAAGGGGGUUCAUUUGACUCGGAGAGAAGGUGUUAGGCAUUCCCCGAGUCCCGUAAAUAGUACGGUUGCGAACUCGAUCAAGUUGACUUCUAAAAUAUUCAAGUUGAGGUAAAAUCACAAAAAACAAUAAACACACAUGAGGCUCGAGGUCGUCCCCGCCUAAUAAAAGAAAAUAGAAAAAAAGAAUAAAACACUACAAGUUCUACAUUUGACUUCUCAUUACAAAGUUCUACGGGGCAUUCCUCGGAAUAAAAUAUAUAUAAAUCUCUCGGGACAUUCCCCGGGUAAAUUUAACUAAGGGUUGCCUACCCGUAUUAGUGAACCUAAGUAUACUACUGAUUUUUGGCAAGUAAAUAAACGAAAUUAAUAAAAAUCAACUCAUGCCUAAAUAUUCGAUUUUAUUUACAAGCUUAUAGUCUGUUAUUUAAUUUAUUUACUAAAUGACGUACAAAUAAAUACCACUUAAUCAUAAUUAUCCCCAACCCCACUUAAUGUCUCCAUUCAACUUAAGCUUUAAUACAAAAUAGUUGAUAAUUAAAGUUCCAAACAAAACAAAACUCAAAGGAAUCUGAAGCCGAAAUUUGCAAGUAGUUCACAAAACAACCAUUGAAGCAUGAACAAGCAUGAACAGUAAACAAACGCAAACAACUCACGGAGAUAAACCCAAAAAAAAAACAAAGGAAAGAGAAAGAUUGAACCUUAGAUGAGUCCCUCUUUUAUAUUGAAUAGUAAAACUCCAAAUCAAGUGCACAUCAGUGGUUGCUUCAAGCCUAUGAACCUGGACCGGAAACCUCAUACGGACGCCCCCAAGCUCAAAACUGAGAAUGCCUUCGUGAGGCUAGGGAUAACUGGGACACUCUAGUCCAAACUCAUCCUCUCGUUCUCACUUUGUUAUCAGAUAUUAGGAGACUCAAGCUAUUUGUAAUUCUUAAAAGGAUGAUAUACAUUAUCUUCUUUCUAGAUCAUGACGAAACUUGUUCUUCUAUGAAUUCAAGAAUGAACACUAACAACAAACCCUCUUAAGUUUUUUCAUUUUUCUUUCGCAGCUAGCGGAUGCUGCUGGUUGGCAGCAGAGGCUGCUGCUGCUGGUGGCAGGGUCGCUGGUCGAUGUUGACCUGGUUGUUCUUCGGUAGUUUUUGGAAGGGCCAGAGAUGGAAAGCUGUUGGUUUGUCGCCGGACUUGCUGCUGCGCGGGAGGCUGGUUGACGGAGAGACAACGAUGGGUGGUCGUUUGCUUGAUGAGAGGAGGAUAUGGGCACUGAUCUCUUUUCCGGUGAGUUUGGUCGUGUUCAGGCUGCUGAUGGCUUGGAGUCUUUUUGGGUCUCUCUCACUAUGGUUCAGCUAGCCUCUCGAAGAAGAAGAUGGGCGCCCCUGGUGUUCUUAAAGUUCAGCUAGGUUUUUUGUGUGUUGUAGUCUAAGGUUCUAGAAGCAGACCCUAGGGGUGGGGGUGUAAGGGUUUAAAGAAGAAGGGGUAAUGGGUUAGGUCUUGCUGGGCUUAAAAAUUGGGCCAAAAGAUUAAAAAUGGAUCUCUCUCAUUAAAAAUGUGAUAAACUAACC